RNAcentral lists this transfer RNA (68 nucleotides) under Chloroflexota bacterium. Its description in RNAcentral is "Chloroflexi bacterium tRNA-Lys". Lineage: Bacteria; Bacillati; Chloroflexota. The record is from RNAcentral.
GGCAAUGAACCGUAUGGGGCGGUUUCUUAAACCGUAGGUCGCCGGUUCGAGUCCGGCCUCGGGCUCCA